GACACGGUCCAAACUCCUACGGGAGGCAGCAGUGAGGAAUAUUGGUCAAUGGCCGGAAGGCUGAACCAGCCAAGUCGCGUGAGGGAAUAAGGCCCUACGGGUCGUAAACCUCUUUUGCCAGGGAGCAAUGCCGUCCACGUGUGGACGGAAGGAGAGUACCUGGAGAAAAAGCAUCGGCUAACUCCGUGCCAGCAGCCGCGGUAAUACGGAGGAUGCGAGCGUUAUCCGGAUUUAUUGGGUUUAAAGGGUGCGUAGGCGGCCUGCCAAGUCAGCGGUAAAAUUGCGGGGCUCAACCCCGUACAGCCGUUGAAACUGCCGGGCUCGAGUGGGCGAGAAGUAUGCGGAAUGCGUGGUGUAGCGGUGAAAUGCAUAGAUAUCACGCAGAACCCCGAUUGCGAAGGCAGCAUACCGGCGCCCGACUGACGCUGAGGCACGAAAGUGCGGGGAUCAAACAGGAUUAGAUACCCUGGUAGUCCGCACAGUAAACGAUGAAUGCUAGCUGUCCGGGGGGAUUGACCCCUGG
This 523-nucleotide ribosomal RNA is filed under the name uncultured bacterium. Its description in RNAcentral is "bacterial SSU rRNA". It matches the Rfam family "Bacterial small subunit ribosomal RNA", at positions 323 to 842 of the family's 1533-position model. The record is from RNAcentral.